AGCUAGCUGGAUGAAUGUUUAACUUCUAGGCCAGGCACUACUCUGUCCCAACAAUAAGCCCUGUACAUUGGGAAAGGUGCCGAGACAUGAACUUUGGUCUUCUCUGCAAUCCAUCUGGAGCAUUCACUGACAACAUCGACUUUGAAGUUGCACUGACCUGGCCAGCCCUGCCACUUACCAGGUUGGGCUGUGGCUUGCCUUUUCACUUCUUGUGUCCUGUUUAAGAAAUAUCUGCUAUCCCAAGAUUGCAAACUCCUAGAGAAGGGCUCAACAGUGAGUGCUGAGGCUGCACAGAGGAGGAAGGCAGCACAAUGAUGGAAGGCUUCCUAAAGAGAUAACACUAACAAAGUUGACCUUAGAAUUGGAGUGCCUGGGUUAGAACCCUGCUGGUACCACCUGCUUACUGCAUGCUUCUGAUGUGAGUUCAGGAGAAGACACUGGCAAGGACAGCAAAGAACAGGAGAACACUCUAGCUUCCCUGAUAGCAUUCAAGGUGCUGUCCAAAGCUCUUGAGUUUCUGCUUUCAAGUGACCCUCAGAAAUUCCUCCAUUCACUGCAGAGGUUCUGUUUCUCCUUGCUUUGUUCUGACUUUACGGCAGAACUAAGCUAAUGAGUUAGUUACUAUGGGUUAUCACUUGGAUUUGAAGAACCAUCAUUUCUAGGCAUUGCUGCUCAGAGUGGGUCUGCCCUCAGGGGAAGCUGUCUAACCAGAGCCUAACCCACUAGGGUUUUAUCAGAACCUAACUGACCUGAGGAAAAGAAAUACUCAACUCCAGCAAGCUCCAGCCUUCCAAAUGGAGGAGGAGAAAACCCAACUCCAGCCCACUUCAGCUAUCUUGUCCCACAUAAAGGGGAAGUGGAAGAAACCUGAGAAGCAGGCAUGAAGUUCACAGUCCAGAGAUGACAUGAUUUUCUAUGCAAAAAA
RNAcentral lists this long non-coding RNA (925 nucleotides) under Homo sapiens (human). RNAcentral describes it as "cancer susceptibility 19". The record is from RNAcentral. Lineage: Eukaryota; Metazoa; Chordata; Mammalia; Primates; Hominidae.